RNAcentral lists this ribosomal RNA (253 nucleotides) under uncultured bacterium. RNAcentral describes it as "partial 16S ribosomal RNA". It matches the Rfam family "Bacterial small subunit ribosomal RNA", at positions 524 to 776 of the family's 1533-position model. The record is from RNAcentral.
UACGGAGGAGGCAAGCGUUAUCCGGAAUUAUUGGGCGUAAAGCGUCCGUAGGUGGUUGUUCAAGUCAACUGUUAAAGCGUGGGGCUCAACUCCAUAAGGGCGGUUGAAACUGAAUGGCUAGAGUGCGAUAGGGGCAAGGGGAAUUCCCAGUGUAGCGGUGAAAUGCGCAGAUAUGACAUAGAACACCGAUUGCGAAGGCAGCUUGCUACACGAUCAUUGACACUGAGGCACGAAAGCGUGGGGAUCAAACAGG